UCCUACGGGGAGGCAGCAGUGGGGAAUAUUGCACAAUGGGGGAAACCCUGAUGCAGCCAUGCCGCGUGUGUGAAGAAGGCCUUCGGGUUGUAAAGCACUUUCAGUAGGGAGGAAGGUAGUGUAGUUAACACCUGCAUUAUUUGACGUUACCUACAGAAGAAGCACCGGCUAACUCCGUGCCAGCAGCCGCGGUAAUACGGAGGGUGCGAGCGUUAAUCGGAAUUACUGGGCGUAAAGCGCAUGCAGGCGGCCUGUUAAGUCAGAUGUGAAAGCCCGGGGCUUAACCUCGGAAUUGCAUUUGAAACUGGCAGGCUAGAGUCUUGUAGAGGGGGGUAGAAUUUCAGGUGUAGCGGUGAAAUGCGUAGAGAUCUGAAGGAAUACCAGUGGCGAAGGCGGCCCCCUGGACAAAGACUGACGCUCAGAUGCGAAAGCGUGGGGAGCAAACAGGAUUAGAUACCCUGGUAGUCCACGCCGUAAACGAUGUCUACUUGGAGGUUGUGGCCUUGAGCCGUGGCUUUCGGAGCUAACGCGUUAAGUAGACCGCCUGGGGAGUACGGUCGCAAGAUUAAAACUCAAAUGAAAUUGACGGA
RNAcentral lists this ribosomal RNA (590 nucleotides) under Photobacterium sp. 3-1prime-E6. RNAcentral's name for it is "bacterial SSU rRNA". It matches the Rfam family "Bacterial small subunit ribosomal RNA", at positions 337 to 917 of the family's 1533-position model. The record is from RNAcentral. Lineage: Bacteria; Pseudomonadati; Pseudomonadota; Gammaproteobacteria; Vibrionales; Vibrionaceae.